ACGAACGCUGGCGGCGUGCUUAACACAUGCAAGUCGAACGGAAAGGCCCUGCUUUUGUGGGGUGCUCGAGUGGCGAACGGGUGAGUAACACGUGAGUAACCUGCCCUUAACUUUGGGAUAACUUCAGGAAACUGGGGCUAAUACCGGAUAGGAGCUCCUGCUGCAUGGUGGGGGUUGGAAAGUUUCGGCGGUUGGGGGUGGACUCGCGGCUUAUCAGCUUGUUGGUGGGGUAGUGGCUUACCAAGGCUUUGACGGGUAGCCGGCCUGAGAGGGUGACAGGCCACAUUGGGACUGAGAUACGGCCCAGACUCCUACGGGAGGCAGCAGUGGGGAAUAUUGCACAAUGGGCGGAAGCCUGAUGCAGCAACGCCGCGUGCGGGAUGACGGCCUUCGGGUUGUAAACCGCUUUCGCCUGUGACGAAGCGUGAGUGACGGUAAUGGGUAAAGAAGCACCGGCUAACUACGUG
Molecule: ribosomal RNA, 467 nt
Filed under: uncultured bacterium
Lineage: Bacteria
Description: partial 16S ribosomal RNA
Rfam family: Bacterial small subunit ribosomal RNA
Source: RNAcentral